AGUUCAGGGAAUCGAGGAGUAAAACAGUAAAACGCAUUUCCAAUUCGAGCGUCGAGUCGAGAACAACUAAUUGUAAGCGGCCCUUGGUCGAAACCAGGGUCGUUCCUCCGACCCAGGACGAUUGCACACUGUCGUUUUCACCUUGGAAAAUGAAUAUGAGAGGACUUAUUUCAUGUGCCUCGUCCAAUAACACCCUCCCUCCGGUGGCCACCCCCAUGGCCGCCGCCCUCCAACCCUCUUCUAUCUCCGAGUGAUCCGAAUUCGACUUCCGUUGACCCUCUGAAGAGAGCAGGGAAAGAACCAUUAUUCACAGACAUUUAUUGUCUCUUCUCCUGAAGUCACUUCUCAGGGCGUUUCCCUGACCGUCGUCUAACGUCCACACCUGAAAGUGUUCCCCUUUUGGGAAAUAAAUGCAAGCACGGGUUAAAAAUUACAAAAUCUUUUUGUCCGGAAUUCACAGACUGUGCUGAUCUUGAACAUCGUUGUGGGAAAAUGCUACUGCGGCGAAAUGCAGACAUUUAGAAGCCUCGCAGCGGACACUAUCGACCGUUUGUCGACAUGGGAGGGUGGCAAAUUAAUUAAAAAACAUGACCUGGUGACAGACGAUACAACGAACGGUUGGUUGCCGUACGGUUUCCGUCAGUGGUUCAGCCACUUCGUCAUUUUCAGUCACAAAGGAAACCAGUCUUGGCUUGUUGGAACCCGGUCCAAACGUUUCCACAGAUUCGGAGAUGACGGUAAUCCACCUUUGUUUGCAAAUAUUACAUAUCCACUUGGAAAAUUUAAGGAACGGAAGAACGAGUAUGGGAUUUUCUGGAUAACUGUCGCUAGAAUCAUAACUGUCCUAUAAGCGGAUCUCAGUCCUACAUUUACAACAUUUUUAAACAUACGAAUUUCCUGUGGAGUCGUUGCAUAUGUAUGAUUUUGCUCCGCUGCUUAAGUUGAUUACAAAGUUAAAAUUUUGGUGCUUUAUACUGGCGACCGUCAUCCAAAAAGUUCCAUACACGUCGAAGACUCAUCCUUCAAUGUUCUAAGAGGAUAUGUAAUUCUUGCAGAAAAAGGCGGAGUACGCGCACAUCUCUACCUAUUUGGGUUCCCACAAUCCAAGAUUUGUUUCUUUUUAGGCUGAAUACUACGAUGUGUCAGCAGUCAGGAGUUUAUUAGGAUCGUACGAUAAUUUUCCGUUGGUUGACUGGUCAAUCACCAGGUCGUAAGGCACCAUCCAGUGCCCACAAACGGCCGACAAUAUCUACUUCCAGGCCUCUGGCUUUUUGGAUUGUGUUGCAGUUACCUUCUUCACCGAUAAUGUUUUCCAUCAGCACAAAAACACUCCGUCUGUGCAUUCACAACUAACCGGGCUUGCGUCCAUUUCCCAAGAUGGGAACACAUUCAUUUUUGGACAAAGUUGUAGCCUUGAGUUUGAUAAAUCCUUGAGAAGAGCCUUGUGGGGGCUAUAGCAACUUCCUUUUCCCUGCUCUCUCCCGAUGGCCAAUCGAAGUCCAAUUCGUCCCACUCGGGGAUAGAUCUGUUGGUGGUUGAAAAAGCUCAGAGUUGAAACUCUCUGCCAAGAAAUCCUCACCAAAAUGGAGAAGAAAUAAACCAGUUUCUUCCGUGUUUGAGGACAACACAUAUGAAGAGGACCAGGAACUCCAAACCGGAGUGACAGGAUAAGGACGCCAUAUUUAUGAAUUCUGUAAUUUGCAAAAAGGUUUUAAA
This is a long non-coding RNA of Cloeon dipterum, 1716 nucleotides long. RefSeq lists it as uncharacterized. The transcript has 3 exons. Lineage: Eukaryota; Metazoa; Arthropoda; Insecta; Ephemeroptera; Baetidae. The record is from RefSeq and is a predicted model, not a curated record.